This 345-nucleotide unclassified non-coding RNA is filed under the name soil metagenome. RNAcentral's name for it is "partial contains 5.8S ribosomal RNA, internal transcribed spacer 2, and large subunit ribosomal RNA". The stretch from base 1 to 119 matches the Rfam family "5.8S ribosomal RNA", at positions 35 to 154 of the family's 154-position model. The record is from RNAcentral.
GAUGAAGAACGUAGCGAAAUGCGAUACGUAAUGUGAAUUGCAAAUUCAGUGAAUCAUCGAGUCUUUGAACGCACAUUGCGCCCCCUGGUAUUCCGGGGGGCAUGCCUGUCCGAGCGUCAUUGCUGCCCUCAAGCACGGCUUGUGUGUUGGGCCCCGUCCUCCGAUCCCGGGGGACGGGCCCGAAAGGCAGCGGCGGCACCGCGUCCGGUCCUCGAGCGUACGGGGCUUUGUCACCCGCUCUGUAGGCCCGGCCGGCGCUUGCCGAUCAACCCAAAUUUUUAUCCAGGUUGACCUCGGAUCAGGUAGGGAUACCCGCUGAACUUAAGCAUAUCAAUAAGCGGAGGA